AAGUCGUAACAAGGCUGCCGUAGGUGAACCUGCGGAAGGAUCAUUAACACGUAUCCAACGUUUAAACCCCCGUGAACCUACAGCCCUAUUCCUGUGCGCCGUUCGGACAGCAAUCCCUAGUAAAUCAUUGUUGAACAGAGUUUGAUUUAGGGACCUCUGUACGGAAGGACUGCUGUUUGCGAGUGGUAGCGCAAGCAUCCUGGUGCCUUUUAGACGGUUAUCGUGUGGAAGUGACGAUAACGUUACCGUGUGUCAGUGACGGUAACCUGUCAACGAGGUGACUCCGAAACACGUUUGCUAGAGGUCACACGACCGGCAACCGGGAUCCAGGCCGAAAGGUCCCUAACCACCCCUCGCAAGAAUUUAGCGUGCACCUAACGGUCGUACGCACCCCCAAACUGAACAACUGUUAACAAUGGAUAUCUUGGUUCUC
This 433-nucleotide unclassified non-coding RNA is filed under the name fungal sp. RNAcentral's name for it is "partial internal transcribed spacer region". The stretch from base 1 to 46 matches the Rfam family "Eukaryotic small subunit ribosomal RNA", at positions 1786 to 1831 of the family's 1831-position model. The record is from RNAcentral. Lineage: Eukaryota; Fungi.